Photinus pyralis (common eastern firefly) is the source of this 2178-nucleotide long non-coding RNA. RefSeq lists it as uncharacterized. Lineage: Eukaryota; Metazoa; Arthropoda; Insecta; Coleoptera; Lampyridae. The transcript is spliced from 3 exons. The record is from RefSeq and is a predicted model, not a curated record.
UUCCCAUGUUAAACGCCUGUUCCACUUUUCGAUUUACACCCUGUACAAAGAGAGGGAAAGACUGAUAUGUAUCGUAUUAUGACUCUUACCGGUGUAUUCAUUUAACAUUAAUUAGCCAAAUCUUAGUGAGGUUUUAGUUACCGCAAUAAUUGUCGAUCUACUAGAAACAAAAAUGUUCUGUCGAUUGGUAAUUGGAAAUCCGUAACUAUCAGUAAGUAAUUUUAUUUGCAUUUCAAAGUUUAUCUACAAAUCGCCAGUAUCGUAAAUUUGGAUUGUCGAAAUCGGAACCCCUUGUACAGAAUCAGAUGUCCCCUAAUAUGAAAUUUACUAUUUUCCCAUUAGUCAGGGUCGGUUUAUCAGAUUACCGUUAAUCUGACAGUUUCCAUGGAAAAAAUUGGCUUUAGGAGGUUAUCUAUCAGAUAAAUUUAACGAACACAUGAAAACCGGCCCCCAAAGCUACCAUUCGAGUGCAAUGCCCAUCCAGUGAAUAUUAACAUACAUUUGGCGCCCACAAUCGCAGAACCCAAAGUUCAUCGAAAUCGAAACAGCUAGUCCGCCAGGUUCAGAACCAGUUCCUUGAAAUCGUACCUUUGUCGUCCGUUCGUUCGAUGUAACUGAACGGUAGGUUCUAGAGCAGGGGUCGGGAAAUUAUGACAUUUUAGAAAACACGCGGAGGAGCAGAGCGAAAUAUACUGUACCCAUCUUACUCUAAAUUUGCAGCCGAAUAUUUCCGACAUAGUAAAUACUCAAUGUUAGUUUAAUCAUCAAAUGUAUACAUGCAAAAAUUCGUCUUAAGUGUUUCAUUUAAUAAAUGUAUUUUCACAUACUGAUUUUUUUAUUAAUUAUUUGUUUAAACAAAACUUAGUGACACGCUUAAAGGUAUUUUUUUAAUUGGUUAAAAAAAUGACACGUUGAAACUAUGGUGGUGCCGACCCCUGUUCUAGAGGCUUGCAACUUGGUAUAUAGGUGUGAUUGUGAAUACAUUGUUGCCAACCAUGUCAUACGAAAUAAAUGAUCGCAUGCAAACAGCUGUGUUUUGUAAAACUUUUAUGUACAGAAUUUCAAUAGAGUGUCAUUUUCACAGAAUUACAUAUUUGGUACCAUUACUGUGUGAUAUCAUAACACAUAUGUCACGCAUAGAUUUGGGUGAUCAAAAGACGGAUUUUUUUGCUUACAUUUUUUUGUAUUUGUUUAACGGAUUGUCAUCAAGAAAAAGUAAAAAAAUGAGUACUGUUUUAUUCAACGGUCAUAAGGCGUCCCAGUGCAAAGUACAAAUUAGCCGUUGGUCAAACAUUACACAAUGGAGAUGCGCAGCCUCGUCUAGCAUUUUCUAGGUUUCUAGGUGAUGUCUACGUCACAGCACAACGAAAACCGAUACAUUAACAGCCAAACGCUACUCGAUUCUUUAAGAAACUUAAUACCAGGUUUCCUAGACGAUGUGGACUUGGCGACAAGAAAAACUUGAUCUGCUACCAAUACGAUGGCGCACCACCAUACAGCACCGUUCUGCCUCAGAAUUUCAGAAUAAAUGGAUUGGACGGAACGACGAGCUGUUGUCAAUGUAUUUGUCAUGGGUAGCAGUUUGAAUAGCGGGUGUGCUGCGGCGGGUAGGGAGUGAGGUUGAUAGAGGCUCGAAGAGCCCAAAGAGCGUCUCCAUUUUUCUUCUCUUCCACCCUAAUCCAGCAUUUAUGUUCUGCUCUGUUCUUUCUACAUUCCCAUAUCAGGUGGUGAAUAUUUUCGUCUUUAUCUCUACAUAGUCUGUAUUUCUUUUCUUCUGGCUUGAUGUUUUUCUUUCCCUCCCUUACCUAUUUCGGAACCCUCCCCGUUAUUAGCUACUUGUACCUUCUGUGUCCUCGUGAAUCCUCGAUUUUGUCUCUGCUGCUGCAGCUGUAUAUAGGUUUUUAAGUUGUUCCAUCCCUUCCUCUAUUUCUCUCCUUUCGACCUUAGCUGCUCCGUAUCAGUUUCUUUCAUAAUAUUUGUUCCCCCUAAUUUCCUUUUGUGCUUAUCCUUGUUGACAAACAUUCUUUCACCAAUCCACUUUCUCUCCUUUCCUGGAAUCUUACAGCUAUGCGCCCCAACGCUAACCUUAUCUUUUUUCAAUUCUUUCUCAGUACAGUCUGGCCAAAUAAGAAUGCGAGGUACUGUAUCUGCGAACCUGUCCAUCGUGGAGGCUUGCGG